AACGAACGCUGGCGGCGUGCUUAACACAUGCAAGUCGAACGGAAAGGCCCUGCUUUUGUGGGGUGCUCGAGUGGCGAACGGGUGAGUGACACGUGAGUUACCUGCCAUUGACUUUGAGAUAACUUCAUGAAAAUGGGGCUCAUACCGGAUAGGAGCUCCUGCUGCAUGGUGGGGGUUGGAAAGUUUCGGCGGUUGGGGAUGGACUCGCGGCUUAUCAGCUUGUUGGUUGGGUAGUGGCUUACCAAGGCUUUGACGGGUAGCCGGCCUGAGAGGGUGACCGGCCACAUGGCGACUGGGAUACGGCCCAGACCCCUACGGGACGCAGCGGGGGGGAAUAUGGCACAAUGGGAGGAAGCCUGAUGUAGCAACGCCGCGUGUGGUAAGACGUCCUUGGGUUUGUAAACCGCUUUCGCCUGUGACGAAGCGUGAGUGACGGUAAUCGGUAAAGAAGCACCGGCUAACUACGUG
Molecule: ribosomal RNA, 468 nt
Filed under: uncultured bacterium
Lineage: Bacteria
Description: partial 16S ribosomal RNA
Rfam family: Bacterial small subunit ribosomal RNA
Source: RNAcentral